RNAcentral lists this ribosomal RNA (1465 nucleotides) under uncultured Bordetella sp. RNAcentral's name for it is "partial 16S-23S ribosomal RNA intergenic spacer". It matches the Rfam family "Bacterial small subunit ribosomal RNA". The record is from RNAcentral. Lineage: Bacteria; Pseudomonadati; Pseudomonadota; Betaproteobacteria; Burkholderiales; Alcaligenaceae.
CAGAGGGGUUCGAUCCUGGCUCAAGGUGAACGCUGGCAGGAUGCUACAUGCGAGUCGAACGGCAGCACGGACUUCGGUCUGGUGGCGAGUGGCGAACAAUUGUGUAUCGGAACGUGCCUAGUAGCGGGGAUAACUACGCGAGAAAGCGUAGCUAAUACCAUACGCCCUUCGGGAAAGCGGGGGACCUUCCGGGCCUCGCACUAUUAAACGGCCGAUAUCGGAUUAGCUAGUUGGUGGGGUAACAGCUCGCCAAGGCGACGAUCCGUAGCUGAGGACUGAGGAGGACGACCAGCCACACUGGGACUGAGACACGGCCAGACUCCUACGGGAGGCAGCAGUGAAAUUUUGGACAAUGGAAACCUGAUCCAGCCAUCCGCGUGUGCGAUGAAGGCCUUCGGGUUAUAAAACGCUUUUUGGCAGGAAAGAAGCAGCUGCAGGAUAAUACCCCGUGCAACUGACAAUACCUGCACCAGAAUAAGCACCGGCUAACUACGUACCAGCAGCGGUAAUACGUAGAAGGUGCAAGCGUUAAUCAGAUUACUGGGCGUAAAGCGUGCGCAGGCGGUUCGGAAAAGAAAGAUGUGAAAUCCCAGAGCUUAACUUUGGAACUGCACAUUUUUUAACUACCGAGCUAGAGUGUGUCAGAGGAGGUGGAAUUCCGCGUGUAGCAGUGAAUGCGUAGAUAUGCGGAGGAACACCGAUGGCGAGGCAGCCUCCUGGGGAUAACACUGGCGCUCAUGCACGGCGUGAGGAGCAAACAGGAUUAGAUACCCUGGUAGUCCACGCCCUAAACGAUGUCAACUAGCUGUUGAGGCCUUCGGGCCUUGGUAGCGCAAUAGCGAUGAAGUUGACCGCCUGGGAAGUACGGUCGCAAGAUUCAAAACUCAAAGGAAUUGACGGGGACCCGCACAAGCGGUGGAUGAUGGAUUAAUUCGAUGCAACGCGAAAAACCUUACCUACCUGACAUGUCUGGAAUCGAAGAGAUUUGGGAGUGCUCGCAAGAGAACGGAACACAGGUGCUGCAUGGCGCUGUCGUCAGCUCGUGUCGUGAGAUGUUGGGUUAAGUCCCGCAACGAGCGCAACCUUGUCAUUGGUGCCACGAAAGGGCACUCUAAUGGAACUGCCGGUGACAAACCGGAGGAAGGUGGGGAUGACGUCAAGUCCUCAUGGCCCUUAUGGGUAGGGCUUCACGUCAUGCAAUGGUCGGGACAGAGGGUCGCCAACCCGCGAGGGGAGCCAAUCCCAGAAACCCGAUCGUAGUCCGGAUCACCGGUCUGCAACUCGACUGCGUGAAGUCGGAAUCGCUAAGUAAUCGCGGAUCAGCAUGUCGCGGUGGGCGUUCCCGGGUCUUGUACACCGCCCGUCACACCAUAGGAGUGGGUUUACCAGAAGUAGUUAGCCUAACCGUAAGGAGGGCGAUUACCACGGUAGGAUUCAUGACUAGGGUGAAGUCGUAACAAGGUAG